Molecule: ribosomal RNA, 369 nt
Filed under: uncultured eukaryote
Lineage: Eukaryota
Description: partial 18S ribosomal RNA
Rfam family: Eukaryotic small subunit ribosomal RNA
Source: RNAcentral
CAGUAGCAUAUACUAACAUUGUUGCAGUCGAAAGGCUCGUAGUCAAAUUUGUUACCCGCAUGCCUUGUAACGUACUUUGUACAGAUCAGAGGCAUGUUGGUAUUCUUCCUCGUAUUUACUGCUGCCCUUGAUUGGGUCGGUGGUACGUGCAGGGACACUUACUGUGAAAAAAUUAAGAUGUUCAAAGGGAGCUAUUGUUCAUAUGUUUCAGCAUGGAAUAAAAAGAUAUGACUUUUCCGUUGGUUGUGGAAAAAGUAAUGAUUAAUGGGAGUAGUUGGGGGUGUUAGUAUUUAGGGGUCAGCGGUGAAAUGCAAAAACCCUCUAAAGACUAUCUAGUGCGAAGGCAUUCACCAAAGAUAUUUNCUUUGA